AGUAUAUUAGGGUAUUUUGGUAACUUUGGUAGUAGAACAGCUGAUAUAUAAGUCCAUGUAAAACUGUAAUUUGUAACAAACUCAGUAACAAUGUAGUCCUCUCAUUUAUCACGUUUUCUCCCUCUCUUCCUUUCUCUCAUCUUCUUCUUCCUUCGUCUCUGAUUCAUAGCUCAGCUUUCAUGGUAUCAGGAGCUCAAGUCGAUCGGUGACCUAGAUGUUCUUGCUUCCUCUAUCUUUUGCUUCCGUGUUAUCAAUUUCAUUCAAUUUUGAUUUUCCCCAAUUCCAAACCCUAACCCCCAAAUUCAGUUUCUCCCUCUGCCAUGGAUCCUUGCUCCAAGCUUGAGCUUUUCACCGUCGUUGUUCUGUUCUGGAAUCCGAAACUCAUCGAUAUCAAGCUUCCAUGGCCUUGUUCGGUGCGACGUCGUUUUUCGAUUCGAGUGCGGACAAGCGAUUCCCUCCGGCAGUCUCCACCGGAAUUGGAGUGCGGAUUCACGUCCAUGGUUUGAUACAAUUACAGAGAGUUUGGUAAUCUCUUUCCGAUUCACUCAUCUCUACACGUUGUUCAUCUACUCUCUGCAAUUCUUGUUGCUCCGCUUCACUAUACAUACUGCUAAUGUGCUAGUCUAUUAUGGGAUCUUCCCUAAGUCGUUUCUGUUCAUCCGUCUACUUUGCACGUUGUUAUGUUGAAGUAUAUUGAUAGAAUAUUUGAAGAAGAAUUGAAUUUUGAAUUAGAUGGAGAAGAAUUGAUUGGUUUUUGAAGUAGAAGAAUUAGUUGUAAAUAUUUUGAAAGAAGAAGUGAGUGAAAUUUGCAGAAGAAGAAUUGGUUGAAUUUUGAAGAAGUAGAUGAUUAGUUGUAUAUAGUUUGAAGAACAAUUGAAUGAAUUUUUGAAGAAGAAGAGUUGAGUUGAAUUUUGAAGUAUUGAUUGAAUUUUGAAGAAGUAGAUGAUUAGUUGUAUAUAGUUUGAAGAACAAUUGAAUGAAUUUUUGAAGAAGUAUUAAGUGAAUGUUACAGAACAAGAAUUAGUAGAAUAUUGAAGUUUGUUUUCUUUUUGGAUGGAUGAUUCUGACUUGACAAGUGGGAUAGUAGAAGAUGUUAGCUGAUUGUGUUUUGGAUUGUGAGAAUGGCUCUAGUGUGAAGGAAGUGCUCUCAUUGGACCAGAGGGUCUCAGGUUCAUCAGUGAAGUGGAGUUAUGGAGGUGGAGCAGAUGACAAGAUUUUAUCCACUGAGAAACAAUGGAGCUACUGAAAACAUGGUGGUGAAAAUGAAAUUGUUACUAGCAGAACUUUUGUUGGCCGGCCAUGGCUUGAGGGAAGGCCUUGUGAACAAUAUCAAGGAAAAAGAUAUAAUUUCUGACUGCAAGAUCAAGGCUGAUAUUGCACCUUGGCGUGGGUGGGAGCUACACUCUACUUUGAUAGAAGCUUAUGAGUACAAGUGGCUCAUCAUCUUUCUUUUGUCAUCUCAUUAAGGGGAUAUGGUCUUGGCUCUGGAAUUUCUCUUUUGAUUAGGGUGAAGUUGGUUUUCUAAUUGGUUCCUGAGUCUUCAAAAUUUCUUUCAAGCAAGUAGUAGCUCUGAAGCUGAUGUCACUCCAAGGUGCCUCGGUUUCAAACUAUGGACGAAGAAAUGUUGAAAGCAAUCUGUGCGCAUCUGAAGCCUAUAACCUAUACUGAUGGGAUGUAUAGCAUCAAAAAGGAUGAACCACUCCAACUGAUGUUCUUUGUUCUAGCCGGAUAUGCAGUCACUGAAAUUUAUCCUCACGCCGUUGUUCGUGUAGGAGAAUUCUGUGGACAAGAACUUCGAGAAUGGGCAUCAACUAUCUCCUUUCCUGCCAAAUUACCCACAGCACUCGAGUCUGCUAGGGCCAAUGGUGAUGUUAGAGUCCUUGCCCUCACGUCUGACGAUUGGAUUAGUGUAGUCCAUAAAUUUUCAUCUAGCAGUUAAGGGAAGAGAGUGUAGCUGUUAAAACCUUUUCUCAAGCAUUACUUCCGAUGAUACAUAAUAGCUGGUCUUUGUCAAAUGUGUUGUAUAUUAUUACGGUAAAAAUCAGAAAUAGUAGCUGAAUUAUACCUCUAUCUUAUCGAUGGUACCUGAA
Long non-coding RNA from Rosa rugosa (rugosa rose), 2090 nucleotides. RefSeq lists it as uncharacterized. NCBI's taxonomy places the organism in Eukaryota, Viridiplantae, Streptophyta, Magnoliopsida, Rosales, Rosaceae. The transcript is spliced from 2 exons. The record is from RefSeq and is a predicted model, not a curated record.